Molecule: long non-coding RNA, 1223 nt
Organism: Capsicum annuum
Lineage: Eukaryota; Viridiplantae; Streptophyta; Magnoliopsida; Solanales; Solanaceae
Exons: 3
Source: RefSeq, a predicted model, not a curated record
UCUUCUUCUUCCCUUUUCUCUCUAUUCAUGAUUCUAUUACUAUUUGUUUUUAAUUUUGUGUUAUUCAGUUGUGAUAUUUUUCUCAAAUUUCAUUUGUGACUUUUCAAUUUCGUCGCUACAGAUAAUCAGAAAAAUGAAUAGCUUUGUGUGGAUGGACAUUGAUUAGAGGAAACUCAUUUUCAUUUUCUUCUGAGUCAGCUCAUAGAAACCAUUAAGGAAAAAUUUGAACUACGUAUUAGUUUAUAUUCAGUUUAGUUAGAAAAUUCAUGAUUUUUCGAUGGUACCAAUUAAUUAUGCUAAUUGCUUAACUUUUUUUCAUUUUAUGGAGUAUUUUAUUGUGGAAUUCUUGUUUUGUAAUUAUAAUCUUCUGGGUUUACCCAUCCACAUCUUUUCAACUAUUUAUUAUUUAUGAGUUUUAAUUUUUCAAUGCAUGACAUUACUAAAUAUCUAUUGAUUUAUAUAGUUGGAAUGUAAUAGUUGAAAAUUUUUUAUUUCACAGGUUUAUAAAGAAGGAAAUUGUUCAAGGUGCGAAAAAAAGGGCACUCUGCUUCGAUUAUAUGAGGUCAGGAGCUGGAUGAUCUUGUUGAGGAAGUGGUUGAUCAUAAGUUGCAUCUUAUGCUGUAGUAGGAUACUCAAUAGUUGGAUGCAUGCAAUUUCAUUGCCAAAAUAGAUACAAUAUUACAAGGAGUAUCAAUUCAAGAUAGCAAAAGUUGCAGGCAAACAGAAAGCAACAUCAAUACUAAAGGAUGCACUUUAUAUAUUAAGUGUUGAGUUGCUCAAGACUAUUGAGAGGGCUGGCUACAAGAAGUUGUCUUCCAUACAAAUGACUACCAUUCUGCUUGGAUUUCAACAACGUGAUGUGAUUGGUGUCGUAGAGAGUGGAUCAGGUAAAACUGCUGCCUUUGUACCCUAUGUUGACGUACAUCGCUAGGCUUCCUCCAUUGAGUGAGGAGAAGGAGACGGAGGGGCCAUAGACGAUUGUAAUGACGCUCACUCGGGAACUUGCUCAGUAAAUUGAGGAUGACAUUGUCAAGUUUGCACACUAUUUGGGUAUGUUUUUUAGUUAAGGGUUCUUAUGACGCGGAUUUGACAAAUUUGUUCUAGCAAAUUUACGAAUAUAUUCCAGAUCCAUUAAAUUUACAAUGAUUAUCUAUUUUAAUAAAUUUGUUAUAUGUAGUCUGUUUUUGUGUUUUGUUAUUACAUGUCAUCUCUUUUUUUCUUUC